This 84-nucleotide transfer RNA is filed under the name Nitrospirota bacterium. RNAcentral's name for it is "Nitrospirae bacterium (sediment metagenome) tRNA-Leu". It matches the Rfam family "tRNA". From Rfam's summary of the family: Transfer RNA (tRNA) molecules are approximately 80 nucleotides in length. Their secondary structure includes four short double-helical elements and three loops (D, anti-codon, and T loops). Further hydrogen bonds mediate the characteristic L-shaped molecular structure. tRNAs have two regions of fundamental functional importance: the anti-codon, which is responsible for specific mRNA codon recognition, and the 3' end, to which the tRNAs corresponding amino acid is attached (by aminoacyl-tRNA synthetases). tRNAs cope with the degeneracy of the genetic code in two manners: having more than one tRNA (with a specific anti-codon) for a particular amino acid; and 'wobble' base-pairing, i.e. permitting non-standard base-pairing at the 3rd anti-codon position. Lineage: Bacteria; Pseudomonadati; Nitrospirota. The record is from RNAcentral.
GCCGGAGUGGCGGAACUGGCAGACGCAAGGGACUUAAAAUCCCUCGGGGCGUGCCCCGUACGAGUUCGAUUCUCGUCUCCGGCA